Non-coding RNA from Populus trichocarpa (black cottonwood), 151 nucleotides. The record is from Rfam. NCBI's taxonomy places the organism in Eukaryota, Viridiplantae, Streptophyta, Magnoliopsida, Malpighiales, Salicaceae.
UAAUCUGUCUAGAGUAGAUCCUCAUCUAGUUAUGGUAGACUCACAUUUGACGACUCAGAAUCACUCGUUAUCAUAAGCUUGACUACAUCACAUUAGUGGAUGAACAAGAAAAAAACAAACAUUCUUGAAGCAAUUAACAUUUAUAUUGUUG